Molecule: long non-coding RNA, 203 nt
Organism: Papaver somniferum (opium poppy)
Lineage: Eukaryota; Viridiplantae; Streptophyta; Magnoliopsida; Ranunculales; Papaveraceae
Exons: 3
Source: RefSeq, a predicted model, not a curated record
UGCUGUUGAGGUACUUGGUGCUUUGAAGGUUAUAGAUGCUGAUACCGUGAGAAAUGUUAUCCCCUUUGUACUUAAUGGAGUUGAUCUAAAUGCGAAUGGAGGCUCUGACCACAAGUCACAGAUUCAGAUGUUCCCAAAGAAAGCAAUGGAGAGCCUUAAUGAAAUUAGGUGUUAAUUACUAAGUAACCUCCAACUGCAUCUAU